Molecule: transfer RNA, 77 nt
Filed under: Rhodoplanes roseus
Lineage: Bacteria; Pseudomonadati; Pseudomonadota; Alphaproteobacteria; Hyphomicrobiales; Nitrobacteraceae
Also listed under: 7 other names
Description: tRNA-Arg
Rfam family: tRNA
About the family: Transfer RNA (tRNA) molecules are approximately 80 nucleotides in length.
Source: RNAcentral
GCGCUCGUAGCUCAGCUGGAUAGAGCAUCAGACUUCGAAUCUGAGGGUCGGGAGUUCGAAUCUCUCCGAGCGCGCCA